Molecule: ribosomal RNA, 298 nt
Filed under: uncultured bacterium
Lineage: Bacteria
Description: partial 16S ribosomal RNA
Rfam family: Bacterial small subunit ribosomal RNA
Source: RNAcentral
GAUCAACGCUGGCGGCGUGCCUAAUCAAUGCGAGUCGUGCGGUCCUUCGGGACAGCGGCGUCCGGGUGAGUAACGCGUAGCUAACCUGCCUACCGGUGGGGGAUACCCGCCAGAAAUGGCGGCUAAUACCGCAUAGCUUGACCAGGGGCAACCCUGGGCAAGAAAACAGCGAUGUGCCGGCAGAGGGGGCUGCGUCCGAUUAGCUUGACGGUGGGGUAACGGCCUACCGUGGCGACGANCGGUAGCUGGUCUGAGAGGACGGUCAGCCACACUGGGACUGAGACAUGGUCCAGAGCUC